CCUACGGGAGGCAGCAGUGAGGAAUAUUGGUCAAUGGGCGCGAGCCUGAACCAGCCAAGUAGCGUGAAGGAUGACUGCCCUACGGGUUGUAAACUUCUUUUAUAAAGGAAUAAAGUGAGGCACGUGUGCCUUUUUGUAUGUACUUUAUGAAUACGGAUCGGCUAACUCCGUGCCAGCAGCCGCGGUAAUACGGAGGUUCCGAGCGUUAUCCGGAUUUAUUGGGAUUAAAGGGAGCGUAGAUGGGUUGGUAAGUCAGUUGUGAAAGUUUGCGGCUCAACCGGAAAAUUGCAAUUGAUACUGGCAGCCUUGAGUACAGUUGAGGUAGGUGGAAUUCGUGGUGUAGCGGUGAAAUGCUUAGAUAUCACGAAGAACUCCGAUUGCGAAGGCAGCUUACUAAACUGCCACUGACAUUGAUGCUCGAAAGUGUGGGUAGCAAACAGGAUUAGAUACCCCAGUAGUC
RNAcentral lists this ribosomal RNA (460 nucleotides) under uncultured bacterium. Its description in RNAcentral is "partial 16S ribosomal RNA". It matches the Rfam family "Bacterial small subunit ribosomal RNA", at positions 338 to 795 of the family's 1533-position model. The record is from RNAcentral.